UGGGGAAUAUUGCACAAUGGGCGCAAGCCUGAUGCAGCCAUGCCGCGUGUAUGAAGAAGGCCUUCGGGUUGUAAAGUACUUUCAGCGGGGAGGAAGGGAGUAAAGUUAAUACCUUUGCUCAUUGACGUUACCCGCAGAAGAAGCACCGGCUAACUCCGUGCCAGCAGCCGCGGUAAUACGGAGGGUGCAAGCGUUAAUCGGAAUUACUGGGCGUAAAGCGCACGCAGGCGGUUGAUUGAGUCAGAUGUGAAAUCCCCGGGCUUAACCCGGGAAUUACAUCUGAUACUGGUCAGCUAGAGUCUUGUAGAGGGGGGUAGAAUUCCAUGUGUAGCGGUGAAAUGCGUAGAGAUGUGGAGGAAUACCGGUGGCGAAGGCGGCCCCCUGGACAAAGACUGACGCUCAGGUGCGAAAGCGUGGGGAGCAAACAGG
This 429-nucleotide ribosomal RNA is filed under the name Chloroflexota bacterium. RNAcentral's name for it is "Chloroflexi bacterium partial 16S ribosomal RNA". It matches the Rfam family "Bacterial small subunit ribosomal RNA", at positions 355 to 776 of the family's 1533-position model. The record is from RNAcentral. Lineage: Bacteria; Bacillati; Chloroflexota.